GCCUGGCUGUCUCAGUUGGAAGAGCAUGAGAUUCUUGAUCUCAGGGUCAUGAGUUCAAGCCCCAUGUUGGGUG
This 73-nucleotide transfer RNA is filed under the name Ailuropoda melanoleuca (giant panda). It matches the Rfam family "tRNA". Rfam says of the family: Transfer RNA (tRNA) molecules are approximately 80 nucleotides in length. The record is from Rfam by way of RNAcentral. Lineage: Eukaryota; Metazoa; Chordata; Mammalia; Carnivora; Ursidae.